This 1623-nucleotide ribosomal RNA is filed under the name Triticum aestivum (bread wheat). Its description in RNAcentral is "partial small subunit ribosomal RNA". The record is from RNAcentral. Lineage: Eukaryota; Viridiplantae; Streptophyta; Magnoliopsida; Poales; Poaceae.
AUGCAGGCUCUUCUCUCGCCAGCUGCCCCUCACAAACACGACCAGCCUCGUCCCCUGCAACCACCGCUCUCUCUCAAGCACGGCUGCUAUCGCUGCCUCUCCACCCACCAUUUUGUUAGAGAUUGCCGUGACCCCGUCCGGUGCCGUCGGUGCCGGGUGUCCGGCCACCGUGCCUCCUCUCCCCGCUGCGCCAUGGCCCCCAAGCGCGAUGCUGCCGCCCCAACCCCUCUCCACUCGCGCCCUGACCUUGCCGCGCCGUGUGGCGGCAACCCCACCAGUCGUCGCCAGCCCACUCCCUACCCGCGGGCUCGCCCUUCAGCCUCCGCUAGCCGUGCCGCGUCCAUCCAGCCCAGGAGGCUGGAGGUGGGGGAGUCGAGCUCGGCUCCCGCUGUGGUGUCGAGAGCCGAGGUCCCGCCGCCUGGUUCCGGCGGGUCGGCUUCGUCCCUAUCGCCACCCCGCCCCCGCGACAUCUCCAUCACGGGGGUGGUCAACUCACCACCGCCGCCACCGCCGGUGGGACCUGAGGGGCGCGGGGGCCCCGUUGCACCCGCUACGACGCCUGCUUCGGCCAUCCCGCCCGAGCUCCUGGCGUUUCAUGACCGCGCCUCUUCCUCGUCCGAGUCCCGGGUCUCUCUGUGCUCCGGUUCCUCCAUGUCGUCCGGAAACUCCAUCCCUUCCAUCACCGCGGACUCGGAACGCCCCGACGCCUUGGAGGUUUUCAUGCCCGAUGGCGACUACGAGGCGGCCCAGCGCCUUGCUGUGGUGGUCAUCGUCCCCCCCUCCGCCUUCCACAACGACACGCUUGCGGUGCAAGCUGUCGUCCUCGACAACAUCGGCCAUCUCCUCCCGGAGGUCGUGUCGUCGUCGGUCGGGGCCAUGUACCUCCGCUUCGCGACCCGGGAGGACCGGGAGGAGGCUCUCCGGUGCCAGCCUUUCCAACACGAGGGCGCCCGCAUCGAUCUCUUUGCGGAGGAGGCCUACGACCGUGUCACUCCGCGUCUCGACGUGUGCGCGGUGCUGGCCGCCACCGGCUUCCCUGCAGAGUUCAUCACCCCGUUCUGCAUCCCCGCCAUGUUCUCCGGGUUCGGCAAAGUGCUCGAGGUGGACCCGCUUGUGCUCUCCGGCCGUGAGCUCGCCAUGGUGCAGGCGGUCGUCCUUCUGCAAAACCCCCGGCGCGUCCCGUGUGACGUUUGGCCCCUUGGUGGACGGUGGGGGACACGCAUUGUCGCGGUCCGUCCCGUCCGUGCCCGGAGCCGGGACGACUCCUUCUCGGCAGAUGGGACUUACAUCCCGUUUUUUGCUGAACCGCCACCCCCUUCGCCCACAACCAGGGCGUCCUCCUUGGUCAGCCGGUGGGAUCCCGCGCUGGCGGGGGCGCUGCCGUGCAUGGGGGCACGAGGGGGCCUGGGUUCCAGCUGGCCUCCAUGCUGCGACUCUUGGGUGCCCCCCCUCUCAAUUGCGGCCCGCCCCUUCGUCUCCCUGCUCCCCCCGUGGAGGAUGAGGCCUCGCCGCCCCACAGCGUGGGAUGGGCUCUUCUGGUGCAGGGUCGCCCGGCGGCCGGUCCAAUGUUACGCUAGUCGAAAUCGAGGAGCCGCCUCUGGCGGUGGUGGCGCCUCCCCCUGA